This is a non-coding RNA of Gossypium arboreum, 145 nucleotides long. Lineage: Eukaryota; Viridiplantae; Streptophyta; Magnoliopsida; Malvales; Malvaceae. The record is from Rfam.
UGUUAAAACUAUCGUCCAUUUCUAUAGUUAAAAACUGAUGUGAAUAACAGAAUAACCAAACAGUUACAUGUGACGCGUUACGUAUACUUCAUGCUAAGGUAUAGGGACUAGAUUUUAACAAUAGAAAUUAAUGAAAUUUGUAACA